UUUGACUCAUUUUGGAAUUAGAAAGAGGCUGGCUGUAGAAAGCCUUAACUCCUUCUGCUUCUGCAUUGAAAAGGACAUUGGAUUUAAUUGAUAAAACUUCUGUCAGUGAAGUUUUCCCAUGGAUGAGCAUUUCCUCUGGAGCCUGCUGUUGGGAAACUCACCGCUGAAUCUUUGAUCAAGUGUGCUGUCAAGGGCAGGGAGAUUUGCAGCAGGAAGACUCCUCACUUCGCUUUGUUGUUCAAUCCUGCCCAGAAAAUGUUGUGCCUUCGCUGAAGGAAUACUCAUAGAACACAUUCCUGAAGUAUCGCUGUCUGAAUUUGUUUUCCUUCACAUCUGGCAAUAAGGAAGUUCAGGGACAUUUUUAGUGUAUAUUUCCUGGUGAUUCGCCAAUAAUAAACGUCAUGUUUC
This is a long non-coding RNA of Fukomys damarensis (Damara mole-rat), 408 nucleotides long. RefSeq lists it as uncharacterized. Lineage: Eukaryota; Metazoa; Chordata; Mammalia; Rodentia; Bathyergidae. The transcript is spliced from 3 exons. The record is from RefSeq and is a predicted model, not a curated record.